CUACAGACUUACAUAUGUGAAAAGAAAGAAAGGAGUACCCACCAUUUGCUGUAUAUGAGCAUCUACCAAACAUUGACCUGAUCGCUUCUUCAUGUUUACCAUCUAUAGAUUCAUUCACAGUCGAUGGGUCAGUAAAUUAAAUCCACUGAUUCUUUGACCAGCUUUGUUUUGUGAUAAGGAAAACAAAAACAAAAAUCAGAACAUUAUUUUUUUGUUUGUAUUGGUCAUUAAGUGCAUCAAAUAGCAGCAUGUUCAUCUUUUGAGCUUAGUUAAAUCUAAUGAAUGUUUGUUUUGAUCCGGAAAUGGGGAUAAUCCUGUAAUUCCUUUAUUUAAUGCUGGAUUAAAAACCAUUACCUGUAUCAAAGAACAAGCAGCACGCUUCAUUCUCUCAUAGUUGGCAUUUGUUGUUUGAUUGUUUACACAGAUGCAUCUUUGGAAAUAGAAUAAAACAGAAUCAAGAUCUAAAGGAUCAGACUCUAAGGAAAACAGGCGAUCUAAAUCGACCAAUUAAAUCAACAAGCAGCAGAGAAACUGAUUCCUGAUUCUUUUCAUGUGUUCAUAAAACGAAUCAUUAGUUGUGACGCAUGAAGCAUUGGACGGAGGUUCAGUUGGACUCAUCUCACACUGAGAUUGCUCUUGUUGUCUCACACAGAGAUCAAGCAACAGAUAAAAAACAUGAAACCAAGUGCAUACAAGUCCAUAAGUCUGAAUCUGUCUGAAUAUGAAGGCACACAUUUCUGUUUUAUGUAUGUGCAGAUAAAUAUUCUAUUUCCUACUAUCAACAACUUGAUGAAAGCUCAGGUUAGAGUGCAAUACUGAAUAAUAAGACAAAAUAGUUUAGAUUCUGAGAAACCAGAACAUUUUGGGUUUUAAACACAAGCGUAGUGAUAUUUUCCUCAUCCAGUAACAACCUGCUAUAUAAUCCACCAGUCAUGUUUUAUUAAAAAGCAUGUUGGCACCAGUGUGAACCUGGAGAGCAGACGAAGUGAAUCGUUUUUACAGUUAUCAGCCUCAGACUGUCAGACGAAGAACUUCCUCCACCUCCAUCCACUCCGCCUCCAUCAGCUGUCAGUCUGACAGUCCACAGAAAUCCUGACCUAAGCCUCGUUUUAGAACACUCUGACUUUCGUUUUACCCUGAAAGUAAACACGCCUAGGUUAGUUUGAUGUGGAGAAUCCAGCGGAGCACACUGGGAGUCUGAGCAGAACUGCUUUGCAGACAAACGCCUUCAGUCUCUGGAUGCUGCACAGCUGGUGGAGAAAUACUCGAAAAGCUCUGCAGCUGCAACUGCAGUGAGUUCUACUAACACACUGAAUACUACAAACAAGCCACACCUUUCAGAUUUUCAUUUGCAACAAAAAUGUCAGACUUAUGUAUUCCAUGGUUCCUUCAUCGAUUUCUAUAACUAAAAAGACUUUAUUCAUUAUUAUCUCUCUCUACUGUCAUCUCUUUACUCUUCUGUCCUUCAUGUCCUUUCUUCUUUCUACCCUUCUCUUUAUCCUUUUUGAUCUUCUUUCCCUCCUUUCCCCAAAAUGUAUUUUCUGUACUGACUUAACUCUGCUCUUCCUUCCAUUUGUUCUUUUUUCCUUCCUCCCUCAUUUUUCCUUCUCCAUGUCCGUUUUUAUUACUUUCCUUCUCGUGUCUUUUCUUCUUUCUUUACACAGGUCAUUCCUUCCUUGUGGCCUUCUUUUCUUUCCUUCCUGUCUAGUGUCCUUUCAUCAUUUCAUUCAUUGUUGUCCAACCUGUCUUGUUUUCAUUUAUCCGAUCUUGUCAUUCUUCAAUCUUAAUGUAUUUUUUUUACUAUUUUCUUUCCUUGUUUCUUUCUUUUCUUCUAUUUCGAUUUUUUAAAUGGACACAAGCUAGGAUCCUGGAAAGUUAAGUCCUUUACUUCCCAGUUCUGUUCUACUUCAUGUUUUCAUAUUUCUAUGAUAAUAAUUUUUAAUCUAUAUGUUGCAUCUUCCACCUCAGUCAGGGACUCUUGUGCUUCAAUAAGUUUGCCUUCUGCCGUUAGUGUGGAACCUCUGGAGAUGAUGACGGUGAAAAGAAGGAACAACCCUGAACAUCCUCUUCAUUUCCCUUUAGGAUUAAAAAACAAUGUUGUAUUGAGUCUAAUUGAAUUUCAUAAACUGAAGUGAGAAGACGGCUAACUGACCAGCGGCUGCAGCUGAGUCUGACAGAGUGCUUCACCUUCACUGGCCACUUCCUGUGGAGACGAGCUGGUCAUUACAACCAACACAGAUGUUCCAGAGGUGUCCCUGCACAUGGUGCGAUUGAUCGGAGCCGGUUCUGGGCCCGGGCCCGGUCGGAGCUGGUGACUUCAGCAGCAGCAGCUAGGAGAACCUGAGGAGAGCCUAGCUGCUGUAAAGAGACAGGAGGCUAAAUGGAUAGUUUGUAUUCACACAGCAGGUCUUGACUCCAGCUGCAAGUCCUGGAGAAAAACUAUUUUUCCUU
Molecule: long non-coding RNA, 2451 nt
Organism: Poecilia latipinna (sailfin molly)
Lineage: Eukaryota; Metazoa; Chordata; Actinopteri; Cyprinodontiformes; Poeciliidae
Exons: 2
Source: RefSeq, a predicted model, not a curated record